UUCCAAAGAAAAAACCUACGUAAUAUUUUUUAAUGUAAAAAGUAUAAAUUAUUUGAUUAAAUAAUCUAAGUCAAUCUAAUAUUUUUAUAUAAAUAUUAACGACUUAAAUUUUCCUAAACGCAUGGUGAAGAUUAAAUAAAAAAUAUCCCGCCCACCACCCCAAAAAAUAAAGUUUUCGCUAUGAUUAACAUUUGUACAAGUGAAAGAAUAUAAAAGUAUAAACACUCAAUUUAAAGUUUUCUUUAAAUGUCAUCCCGAUAAGUAUUCUCAAUCAUUUGUAUAAACACUUGUAAUAAAAAUGUCAAUAAUAAAUAAAUAAUAAUCAAAAUAAAAUGAAAAACUAUGGGUGCAUAUACAUAUUUAAAUAUAUAUUUUUUGUUAGUUAGUGGGCUCAGAUAAAGUUUUGAAAUAUUAUGAAGAUUUCGUCAUCGUCCAAAAAUAUUUAUUUUUUAUUACGUAUUUAUAUAUAUAAUGUCCUUCUUUUAUUUGGAAAGACCUCAAAAACUGACGGAGGUUUCCUCAUUGACCAUAUAUUUAUUUAUAUAAAAUAAAUAAAUUGAAAAGUAAAAUUAACUUUUGUAUUGGGGUGACCUUAAAUAUUCAAAUGGAGGGAUAAUUUUACUGGCCAUGUCUAUUUUUUACAAAGCAACAAGGGACAAAAUGUCUAAAAACAGUUCCUAAAUCAGUCUAAACAUAGCAAAAUAACUCAUCCAUUCAGUGCAUUUUCCGAAUGCAAAUCAACCCAAACAAUAAAAAAUAUAUUAGCACAUAUCAAUAAUGUUGAUGGCAAUAAAAGAAAAACAAAAACACAGGACAAUAAUAAAACAACAAAUCCAACAAGAGAAGACAAAUAUGAUAAUUAACUAUAAUAACCAGAGACAACAAAAAAAUCUCAGACAGUGAGGGUGUCGGCGUUGCUUCAACGGAAUCAUCGGAGCAACGCCGUAACAUAGAAAAGCGGCCAGAUCUGGCCAAAUUCUCAGUAAAUAGUGGCGGAAAAAGGAGGAAAAGGGAGGCGCGUCUGGCGGUUUCUGCUGGUGAGGUCGCCGGCAGAUCUGGUUCGGCUUUGGGUGGCAGAAAUAGUUGGAGCUUUGGUAGCUGUUGGCCGGAGUUGUUGUUGUCAGUGCCUGGACGGAUUUAUAGGGGAAAAGGGGUCGGCCGGGUGGUGGCUGGAAGCUCGCCGGUCGUCACCUCCGACGAACCAGCGUGCAGCAGCGGAGAUGGAAGGAAGAGAAAGACGUGAGAUAUAGAGAGAAAAUGAGAUAAAAAAUCUGAUGUUUUCUAUUUUGUGUGUUCAACAAUUGCCUCCUCCUCUUUUAUUUGUAAUAAAAAGAACCUUUUUUUUAUUAAAAAAAAAAAAAUUACCUCUUUAAUCACUAAAUAGUAUAUUACUAUUAAUCAAUAGUAUGUUACUAUUAAUCAAUAGUAUAUUCAAUUAAUCAUUUCAAUUGACAUCUUUUAAACAGUUGACAUGAUUUUAAUUUGAUUAAUUUAUUACUUUGUAUAUUAAAAUAAUUAAAUUGAUUCACUUUUGUAGGUCGUAUUAAAUAACUUAUAAAAUAAUAAAUAUCGAUGUAUAAUUAUAGAAAAAUAUAAACAACAAAUAAAAUAUAAUUAUCUUGAAAAAAUAUAUUAUGUUAUAAUAAUUAAAAUUAUACUGUGCAGUAAAAAAUUACAGUGUUGUGUUGUGUACGUAUUUAAUGAUUGUGUAAAAAUCUUAAAAUAAUAAUAAACUGAUAAAAAUUUACAAAAUUAAGGAUAAUUAUGUAAAAUUAAAAUAUGAUAAUAAAUUUGUAGAAAAUUCUAAAAUAAUGAUAAUUAUCAAUAACUUGUCGGAUAUGACAAAACAUUAUUGUGUGUUCCUUGUCAAAUGUGACAAAACAUUAAAUUAUUAUACUAUACAUGAAUAAUUGAUCCAACUCAGCGUUUGCAGAAUGUAAAAUAUAGAAAUUGAUUUGUAAUUAUGAAAAAAUAUAAAGGAUGUUGAAAAUAUCAAAAAAUAUAAUUAAUUUGAAAAUAUUAUAAAAAUAUGAUGUCAUGUCGUGCACGUAUGCAGACAAUUGUAAAAAUAUUGACUGAUAAAAAAUUUCAAUAUACAGAGAAUUAUCAAUAAAUUAUAAAAAGUAAGAAUAUAAAAGUAAAUUGAUAAAAUCUUAAAGUAAAGAGGAAUAUCAAUAAUUUAUUAACAAAUGUAAAAAAAAUACGUGAAAAUUGUAUUUUGUGCCCUUUAACGAUCAGAAAGCCUGAAGACAUUAAUUUUAAGCACGGAGAGCAAAAAUUGGGUGUCAACAGUUGCCUCUUUUUGUUUGAAGGCGAUGUAGAAGUUUCAAAACGAAAAUAUUGACGUGUAGCCAAUUUUGCUCGAUAAAAAAUAAUUUUGAUAAAAAUUCAACCGAACUUCAAUUUAGAGCUGCCUACAUACCUCGAGUUGUAUGAGGAUCAGGUCGGGUGUAAUUCGAAAGAAUAGGCAAUUACCUCCUGCCUUGUUAUUAAGGGUGGAUGACCAUGUAGAAUGAUUAUUGAGAGACGAACUAUUUGGAAACAGAAGUGUUUAUCUAUUUCCAAUGUCCCUUUUAAAAUUGUCCAGUAUCGAGCUGUGAGAUGUUGUGGAUGCAGGAUUGUGUACUUGCUGGGGAGAAAGAAUGAUUAGGGGAUUAUGAUGACCGAACUCUGCAUAGAGCUUCCUACAUAUCUCAAGUGUCGCGAGAAUCAGGUCAAUAUAGUUCCAGAUGAGAAAGUAGAAAAUUUUGAAGCAGUUCUCAAAAUUUGCCUCAGUGUAUGAUGUAUGGGUUUUAAAAAAAUAUCUUUUGUUUUGAAUUAUAUUUCUGGUUUAACAUAUGGAUGAUGUCUCCGAUUAUUUGCGGAGACUUGAGGAUGAAUGACGCCUCCGAUUGUUUACGGGGACUUAUGUGAUAAAUGAAAGAUGUCUUUGAUUGUAUACGAAGAAUUGAUGCAUCACAUCUCUAAUUAUUUAUGAAUAUUGAUGUUGAUCGUCAUCUUCAAUUGUCUACGAAGACCGUGUGAUGAAUGAUGAUGUCUUCGAUUAUUUACGAAGACUUGAUCAUGACACCUCCAAUUGUCUAUGGAGGCUGAUGUUGCUUGUUGUCUCCGAUUGUCUACGGAGACUAAUGUGAGUGACAUCUCCAGUUGUCUAUGGAGACUGAUGUUGAUCGUUAUCUUCGAUUAUCUACGGAGACUGUGUAAUGAAUGAUAAUGUCUUCGAUUAUUUACGAAGACUUAAUGCAUGACACCUCAAAUUAUCUAUGGAGAUUGGUAUGAAUUAUCGUCUCCUAUUGUCUACAGAGACUGAUGUGAUGAAUGAUGUUGUCUUCUAUUAACUAUGAAGACUUGAUGCAUGACAUCUCCAAUUGUCUAUGGAGACUGAUGUUGAUUGAGGUGUCUUCAGUUAUCUACGAAGAUUUGAUAACAUCUCCAAGUGUUUAUGGAGACGGAUGUUGAAUGGUGAUGUCUUCGAUUGUCUAUGGAGACUGAUGUUGAUUGUUGUCUCCGAUUGUCUACGAAGUCUAAUGUGAAUGGCAUCUCCAAUUGUCUAUGAAGGUUGAUGUUAAUUGCCGUCUCCGAUUAUCUAUGAAGACUAAUGUAAUGAAUGAUGAUAUCUUUGAUUGUUUACGAAGACCUGUAUGAUAUCUUCAAUUAUCUAUGGAGACUGAUGUAUGACGCCUCUGAUUGUCUACGAAGACUAUGUGAUGAAUGUUGUCUUCGAUUGUCUACGAAAAUUAUGCCAUGAAUAUUGUCUUUAAUUGUAUACGAAGACUAUGUACGAUAUCUCCGAUUGUCUAUGAAAACUUGAUGAUAAAAUGACAUCUCUGAUUGUCUACAGAGACUAUGUAAUGAAUGUUGUCUUCGAUUGUCUGUGAAGAUUAUGUUGAUAUCUCCAAUUGUCUAUGAAGAGUGAUGAUAAAAUGAUGUCUCUGAUUGUCUAUAGAGACUAUGUAAUGAAUGAUGUCUCCGAUUGUCUAUGAAGACUAUGUCAUAAAUAUUGUCUUCGAUUGUAUAUGAAGACUAUGUACGGUAUCUCUAAUUGUCUAUGGAGACUUAAUGAUAAAAUGAUGUCUUUGAUUAUCUACAUAGACUAUGUAAUGAAUGUUGUCUUCGAUUGUCUACGAAAACUAUGUUGACCGUUGUCUUCGAUUAUUUAUGAAGACUGAGGCCAUCAACUAGUGAGGUGACUGAAAUCUAAUAGCCCUAUCAACUAGUGAGGCUAUUGAUGUGUAAAAAAUUCUCGACUUGGGAGAGAAAGAAAAAAAAUAUAAUAGCCUCUCGAGUGACGGGGCUAUAAAGAAUAAUACUCAAAGAUGAGCGCCUAACUGAAAAAUAAAAUGUUUAUAUUUAAAGGUAUGUGCUUGAAAGAAAAAAGGAAAACAUCCAUAUUUGAAAAUUAAAAGCCUUAAAUAAAAAGUAAAAAAUGCAUGCAUGUAAAAGUGGAUGUCUUGAAAAGUAAAGAAAUGUAUGUAUGUGAAAAUGAGGUCUUGAAUGAAAAGUAAAGAAAUGUCUGUAUGUGAAAAGAGGUGUCUUGAAUGGAAGGUAAGAAAAUGCCCAUAUGCGAAAGUGGGCUUCUUGAAAAAAAAAAGUAUUUUCUUGAUAAAAGUGUUGAAACUUGAAGAAUGCAUGGUUAUGUCUUAACUUCGAUUGAUACCAAUAAUUAGUAGUGUGUAUAAGAAUUUCCCAUUUCUUUCCCAACUGACUGAGAUCGACUUCAGGGUAACUCAUAUAGUUUCAAGUGGUACCUCAAACAUACCUAAGUAUCAAUAAGAUUUAUUUAUCUUGCUUCAAAUAAAGGUUUCGUGAUACUAUACCUGGCCUCAUGUUUCAAGUGCCCUCUCCAGAAAGAAAGUCUCAUUUCACACAUAUUUGAGUAAUUUUUUUUAUUUGGGGACGUCGAGAAAAAUACAAUCAUACUCGAAAGGAAAUUCAAUACAUGCAGUUGUGAUACUAUAGGCCUGAUCUUCAUGUAAGUAUACACUAAUGUGAGAACACUUGAAAUAGGAUCAUGUAGGACUUUUUAUUGGCUUAUAAUGUAGGCUUGGGGACGGGUAGGAUGAUAUUUGGGAUAAAAGUGACUAAUUCCUCAAUAAUUAUUACAUUGCAUUUGUGCUUUCUACAUUUAUUAUAUUUUGGCGCGUGAUUUUUCUUUGUUGUGCUUCGUUGUCUCUUGUUUUUGUAUUUGCUUCGACUUCUUUUGAAUCGUGUAUUGAAGUUUCCCCCUUUUUUUUUAAGAUACUAUAUUUAUUUUUUAUUUUUUUUGGUGUGUGGGGGUUUUGCUUCUUUUGAAGUCUUUUUUUUUUCAAUUUUGUUCAUCUAGGAUAAUAUAUCCUUUGCGUUUUGCAUCUUUGAUCUUAAAUCUCUGUCCAUAAUUUGCAUGUAUUUAGUGCGCUCAAGGAGGUAGGGCCAAGAGAGGGAUAGUGCAUGUAAGCACUCAAAAAGGUAUAGGUGCAGAUGCGGUUGUCUAAAGAAAAGGUUUAGGCUCAAAAGAGGAAAUGCUAGGGGUUAAUGUCGUUUGGUGGGCUAUGAAAGGCUCAAUCGGGUCAAAGAAGGCCUAUGAUCAUUUUCUAAACUAAGUGAAACUUAGAAUUUCACCUCAACAGACAUUUAAGACAAGUUCUAGAUCAACAAUGCAAUGCAAUGAAUUAAACUAAAGCUCACCUCACAAUGCACAUGAGACGAUGAGGCAGGCUUCAUUCUUGUCUUGAAUGUAUGCAGGAGAAUUUUCAAGUGUUACUCGGGUAUGAUGAAGGGUAUCAAAAGAAUCUAUGGUUUACCAUGAAAUCAAUUAUUUACAUCAUACCAAAUCAUUCUUUCUCAUGCACAUUCCUAACUGUUUCCGUGUCAAUCAAAUCAAUUUUUUUUUAAAGAAUGGGAUCGAACCCAAAUGAGGGUUGCCUACGUAUCUUGUGAAAACAAGAAUCAGGUCUGCGUAGUUCAGCAAAAUUUGUGAAUUUGUAUAUGAAUGUAUGAUUGUAAAAAAAAUGAUGGCCAUUCUCGAAAAAAAAUGAUGGUCAUUCUCGAAAAUAAUAUGAAAGACGAUCAGGAAUUAUUUUUUUUAACAUAAAAAAUUAUUCUGAUCAAAUGAUCGAGAGAAUGAAUGUCAUGUAUAGGGAGAGCUUUGACACAACUUCAGUAUGCUGACAAGAUUGAAAAGUCAGACAUUGAAGAAAUUAUGACAUUAUUUCACCACAGUUGGCGAGAUUAUUAUAAUUGAAAAAAAUAUUAAAUUCUUAUUUUAGAGAGUGAGGAUCAAUAAGUUAUAAAUUUAAUAGUUCACGACGUUCGAAAAAAAAACUAGGUAAAAUUGAGUAAAGAUCUGAAGAUAGGCCGGCUAGGCACUAAUUCAAUGAGAUUUGGAUUUGAUGAGCUAUUAAUUUGCGCUCUUGAAGGCUUUUGAAGAGCGUCUUUGAACUGUUCUAAAAAAUUGCCCCAGUUUUGAAUACCGAAGAAAUUAUUCUAAAAGUUAGAGUCUGAACCCUAAUGCAGGGUUGCCUACGUAUCUUGUUAGGACAAGAAUCAGGUUAAAACGUAGUUCAAACAAUUUAUGAGUUUGUACAUUACGUGAUUUAUUUCCAGAAUAGAAACUUUCCUAAAUGGUUGAGAGUAGGACUGAAUGAUUGAAAGAAGGCUCAAUAACUGAAAUGCGUCGAUUCUGAAACUAUAGAAUUUAAAAAAGAUUUAGAGGAGUGUGAAACACCCCCCACGUGAACCACAAUGUGUGAGUGUAUGGCCAAAAACUCGAUGAAAUUGUGAUUUAUGAUCAAAUAAAAUAAAGAAUAAUGUGUAACUGUUUUAACAAUAUACAGAUACAGUGUAUUAAAUAAAUAAUUAACAAAAAAAUUGAUAAGGCAACAAAAUUAAUUUGCGCAAAUAAUGUAAAGAAUUCAUGAAAAAGUCUACACAAUUUGCAAUAUGAAACAGAUAAAGAAUCAAAGAAUUAAUAUAUGCAAAAAAUGUAAAAAUACCUCCCUCAAUUGAAAAAUUGAGUCGACCAUGGUUAGAACUUGUUGUUCAUCCCCAGCGGAGUCGUCAUUUUAUCAUGCCCUAUUUUCGCCAAGGUAAACACGUACGACUUAUGGACUCUAAAUGAAUUGAUUUUAUUACAGAGUCGCCACCUAAUUUUAAAGAAAAAUAAGGAAACCUAUUGAAUUAUUAACAUGUGCGAUUUUAUGUUUCAGUCUGCAAAAUUCAAUUGAGAUUCUAGGUAAGAGUUUAAAUUAUCCCGAAGGGAAGGGGUUAGGCACCCUUCAGGAUACACAAAUGUGGUAACCAGCUAAACUAAAUUUAUCAAAAAGAGAGAAGGUAUAUUGAAAAUAAUGUAAAAAUGUAUGUAUUAAAUAUAAAAUAAUUCUUUUAAAAAAAUAUAAAUAUUUUAAAACUAUGUAAAGGUAUAUGUAUAUUAAAUAUAUGAAUAGAAUAAAUUAUUAUAAAAUAUGUAAAGGACAUGUAUAAAAAUGUAUAAAUAAAUGUGAAAAGGAAAAGUACUUUAUAAUGUAUGAAAAACAGUGGCGGACCCAGGAUUUAAGGAGAGUGAGUGCUUACUAUAGAAAAAAAUAAAAAAUUACCUCAACCAGGUUUGAACCCGAGCACACCUACCAAUGGAGAGCCUUAAGAUCAACUUAAAUGACAAUGCACCUAACCAAUUUCUUGUUUAGCGGGUGCUUUUAUAUAAUUUAUAACCAUUUUUGUAUAUUUUUUAUGUAAUUAUACCUAUUCUACGUUGAGUUUAGUGGGUGUUGGAGCACCCAAAAUUUAUGUGUAGGUCCGCCCCUGAUGAAAAAGAAAUGUAUUUUGAUAUGCCAUGAAAAGAAAAAGUAUUUACCGAUAAUAUUUUUUAUCUGAUUAAAAUUAAGAAAAAAAGUAAAAUUUAUUUGAUAUGAAAAGACUAUAUAGUAUAUGAAUUACUUGAUUAACUUGAUUAUUUUAUGUAAUUGCAUCAAAAUAACAUAUAUGAUUUGUCGUAAAAAGUAUAAACAAAAGUAUAUCAGUAUAUGUAUGUAAAGAAAAGAAAAGAUUAUAUAAAGAAAAAUUGUUUCAAAGAAAAAACAUACGUAAUAUUUUUUAAUGUAAAAAGUAUAAAUUCUUUGAUUAAAUAAUCUAAGUCAAUCAAAUAUUUUUAUAUAAAUAUUAACAAUCUAAAUUUGCCUAAACGCGUGGUGAAGAUUGAAUAAAGAAUAUCCCGCCCAACACAAAAAAAAAUUAAAGUUUCCACUAUGAUUAACAUUUGUACAAGUGAAAGAAUAUAAAAAUAUAAAUACUCAAUUUAAAGUCUUCUUUAAAUGUCAUCCCGACAAGUAUUCCCACUAACCUGUAUAAACACUUGUAAUAAAAAUGUCAGUAACAAAUAAAUAAUAAUCAAAAUAAAAUAAAAAAAUAUGUGUGCAUAUACAUAUUUAAAAGUAUAUUUUUUGUUAGUUAGUGACUCAGAUAAAGUUUUAAAAUAUUAUAAAGAUUUCGUUAUCGUCUAAAAAUAUUUAUUUUUUAUUACGUAUUUGUAUAUGUAAUGUCUGUCUUUUAUUUGGGAAGGCCUCGAAAACUGAUGGAAGUUUCUUCAUUGGCCAUGUUUCUAUUUAUAUAAAAUAAAUAACUAAAAAAAAAGUUUCAUCUUUUGUAUUAGGGUGACUUCAAAUAUCCAGAUGGAGAGAUAAUUUUAUUGGCCAUGUCUAUUUUUUGCAAAGCAACAAGGGACAAAAUGUCUAAAAAUAGUCCCAAAAUCAGUCUAAACAUAGCGAAAUAACUCAUCCAUUCAGUGCAUUUUUCUGAUGCAAAUCAACCCAAACAGUAAAAAAUAUACGAAAAAGGCUCAAAAAUAUUCCUGAACUAUCUAAAAUAGGUCAAAAAUACUCCUCGUUAGAUUUUUGGCUCAAAAAUAUCCCUUCGUUAAAUAUUUGGCUCAAAAAUAACCCUCCCUCUAACGGAAUUCGAAAAAGGAUAAAAAGUACUCCUGAACUAUCUGAAAUUGAUCUAAAAUACCCCUCAUUAGUUUUUUGGCUAAAAAAUAUCCCUCUGUUAAAUAUUUGGCUAAAAAAAUACUCCUCUCCUUAACGAAAUUCCACCAAGCAUACCACCUAGAUAAAAAAAAAUACGUGGUCAUGCCACAUUACCAUCCACAUGUAAAAUGUUAUAUUUUUUAAUUAUAUGACAUUAUUCCUUUCUUUUUUAUUUUUAUUUAUAUUUAUAUUUUUUUGCAAAGCAAUUUUAUUGAUCUGGAAAAAAAUAUGAUCAGUAAAAUUAAAAAUUUCUAAAAAUAUUUAAAUAAAAUCAAUCAGUGUUUUUACUGAAUUUAAUUUAACGUUUUUGGAAUUACUAGACAUUGGGAAGGUACUAAAUAAAUUUUGUUAAAGGAGUACAAAGUAUUCGUUUUUUUUUCAUUAUAUGAUAAACUUUUUACUUUGAUUAUUAAAGAAAAUGAUAUCCAUGUUUUUCUAAUGAUUAAAAUAUAUUAAAUGUCAUUUACUUUUCUGGAAGUGAAAUUUUAAAAAAUUCUAAGAAUACUAACAUAAAUUUAGAAAAACUAUCAACAUUCAUUGAGUUUAGAAAAAAUAAAUCACCAUCACUGAAUGUAAUCUUUUUAUUUAACUCUUUCAUCAAGAAGAAAGGAAUGUCAUAUAAUUAAAAAAUACUAACAUUUUACAUGUGACUGGUAAUGUGGCAUAAUUACGUGAUUUUUUAUACGAAAAAGGCUAAAAAAUAUUUUGACUUUGAUGAUCCUAAUGGGAUUAGGUCGAUCUUAUCUUUUAGGGAAUCCUUGGUGCAACAGUGAAGUUGUAGCCAUGUGAUCAGGAGAUCAUAUGGUUCGAACUCCUAAUCACAAAAACCACCUCUUUUGUAUAGUUGUGACUUAUGAGGUGAAGUCGUGUAUUUAUAUGAUAUGUUUCGUCCCUAGUCCCUGUUCAUAGUUAAAGCCUUUAACUAACAAUUCUCAUCUCAACGUUUGUUCUAUGUUUUGUUAUAACUACUUCAGUGGUAAUAUUAAAACUAUAGUUACAAUCUACAAUGUAUUUAUAAUUUACUCAGAAUGCUAUUGCGCUGCUGCUUCAUGUGUUAAACUUUAAUGUUCAAGAAAUUUUAGAGGUCGAUAUAAUAAGUUGGCUAACUUUUUUCGGUGAAGUGAAAUAAUUUCUUUCUACUAUUAUUCAUUCCGUACGUAUGAUUAGAUUUUGAAUUUCAUUAGGAAGUACUACAACGAAUAAUGCAUCAAGGUAUUUUUGAGACUUUGCCGUAAAAAAAAAUCACGUUAUGCCACAUUAUAAUCCACAUGUAAAAUAUUAGUAUUUUUUAAUUAGGCCAAAGUUAUCGAUAGACACUCAAACUUGUUGCCAAAAUUCAUUCAGACACCUAAACUAAGGCCUGUUUCUAUCAGACCCCUAACCCCUCUCCCCUCCAUUUUAUUCCAAUUGGGCCUUUUUUACCCUACCAGCAAAAAACUCAAAGUGUGUGUUACGCACACGCGAUAACGUGGUAAAAUGAGCUAAUUGAAACCUGACACGUGACAUUGUGAGUUCAAUAAUUAAUAAAAAUUAAUUAUAAUUUUUUUAAAAAAAGUAUAUACAAAUGGCAUUGAGGAAAUUAUUAAAAAAUAAUUCUAAAAUUAUUUAAAAAAUAAAAAAAUAGAUUAUUUAAAAAAAUUAUAAAUUAUUUUAAAAAAUGAAAUAGAUUAUUUAAAAAAUAUUUUUUAAAAAAAUUAAUUAUUAAGAAAAAUUAUAAAUUUUUUUAAAAAAUGAAAAUAAACAAUGGCUAGGAUAUAAAUUAUAAAAAAAUAAUUAUAAGAUUAUUUAAAAAAUAAAAAUAAAAAAAUAAUUAUUUAAAAAAAUUAUAAAAUUUUUUAAAAAAUGAAAUAAAUUAUUAAAAAAUUAUUNNNNNNNNNNNNNNNNNNNNNNNNNNNNNNNNNNNNNNNNNNNNNNNNNNNNNNNNNNNNNNNNNNNNNNNNNNNNNNNNNNNNNNNNNNNNNNNNNNNNNNNNNNNNNNNNNNNNNNNNNNNNNNNNNNNNNNNNNNNNNNNNNNNNNNNNNNNNNNNNNNNNNNNNNNNNNNNNNNNNNNNNNNNNNNNNNNNNNNNNNNNNNNNNNNNNNNNACAAUUAUUAAAAAGAAAUUAUAAAAUUUUUUAAAAAAUAAAAAUAAAACUCCCUCACCUACCCCGAGCCCCCAACGUAUUGUAUUAUUAAAAAAUAAAAAUUGAAACCCCCUAAUGCUUUUUUGCCUAAUUAUAAAAAAGAAAUCAUAAAAUAUUUAAAAAAUAAAAAACUAAUUAUUAAAAAAAAAUUAUAAUUUGUUUUUAAAAAUAAAAUAAAACUCCUCUAUCUACCCUAUCCAUAGGGUAUUGUUUCAUCAAAAACCAAAAAUUGAGACCUCCUAAUACUUUUUGUUUUAUUAAAAAGGGUCUUUAGUGUUUUAAAAAACAAAAUUGUUAUUAAAAAAAAAUUUUUAGAUCCUUCAAUGCCACUUGUCAUCUUUUUAUUUAUAAAUUAAUAAAAAAAAUAUUCAUCACGCGCUUCUCACGAUGACACCAUAUGCGCAAUGCCACAUAAACAAAAAAGGUUCAAUUGGAACAUAAUGUGAGGCUAUAAGUCUUAAUUCAGAUGGUGACACCAUAUGCGCAAUGCCACAUAGACAAAAAAGGUUCAAUUGAAACAUAAUGUGAGGCUAUAAGUCUUAAUUUAGGUGUCUAGCAAUAAAUUUGAAUGUCUAUUAAUGACUGAACUUUAAAUUAUAUGACAUUUCUUUCUUCUUAAUAAAAGAGUUAAAUAAAAGAAUUAUAUUUAGUAAUGUUGAUUUAUUUUUUUUGAACUUAAUAAAUAUUGAUAGUUUUUCUAAUUUUAUGUUUAAUCAAGAAAAGUAAAUAACAUUUAAUAUAUUUUAAUCAUUAGUAAAACAUGAAUAUAAUUUUUUUCAAUAAUCUAAGUGAAAAAUUUAUCAUAUAAUAAAAAAAAUUGAAUAAUUUAUAUUACUUUAAUAAAAUUUAUUUAGUAUCUUUUCAAUGUCAAGAAAUUCAAAAAAUGUUAAACUUAAUCCAGUAAAAUUGAUUUAUUUUUAAAAUUUUUUAAUUUUACUGAUUAUAUUUUUUUUCAAAUCAAUAAAAUUGCUUUGUAAAAAAAAAAAAGUCAUAUAAUUAAAAAUAUUCUUCUAUUAAAUAUUUGACUCAAAAAUACUUUUUUUUUUAUCCAUUUCAGAUAGUUUAGCGAUAUUUUUGAUUUUUUUUUAAUUUUGUUAGAGGAAGAGAUAUUUUUUAGCCAAAUAUUCAAUAAAAAACAGUUCAUGAGUAUUUUUAAGCAUUUUCCGAAAAAUAUAUUAGCAACAUGUCAAUGAUGUUGAUGGCAGUAAAACAAAAACAAAAACACAGUUCAGGAGUAUUUUUAAGCAUUUUUCAAAAAAUAUAUUAGCAACGUAUCAAUAAUGUUGAUGGCAGUAAAACAAAAACAAAAACAAAAACACAGUACAAUAAUAAAACAACAGAUCCAGCAAGAGAAGACAAAUAUGAUAAUUAACUAUAAUAACCAGAGACAACAAAAAAUCUUAGACAGUGAGGCUGUCGGCGUUGCUUCAACGGCAAUCAUCGGAGCAACGCCAGAAAAUAGAAAAGCGGCCAGAUCUGGCCAAUUUCUCAGUAAAUAGUGGCGGAAAAAGGAAGAAAAGGGAGGCGCGUCUGGCGGUUUCUUCUGGUGAGGUCGCCGGCAGAUCUGGUUCGGCUUUGGGUGGCAGAAAUAGUUGGAGUUUUGAUAGCUGUUGGCCGGAGUUGUUAUUGUCAGUGCCUGGAUGGAGUUAAGAGGGGAAAAGGGAUCGGCCGGUUGGUUGCUGGAAGCUCACCGGUCGUCACCUCCGGCGAACCAGCGUGUAGCAGCGGAGAUGGAAGGGAGAGAAAGACGUGAGAUAAAGAGAGAGAAUGAGAUAAAAAAUCUGAUGUUUUCUAUUUUGUGUCUUUAACAAUUGCCUCCUCCUCCUUUAUUUAUAAUAAAAAGAACCUCCUUUUUUUAUUAAAAAAAUAAAAAAUUACCUCUUUAAUCAUUAAAUAAUAUAUUAUUUUUAUUUUUACUAUUAAAUAGUAUAUUACUAUUAAUUAAUAGUAUGUUACUAUUAAUCAAUAAUUCAAUCAAUCGUUUCAAUUAUUAUCUUUUAAAAAGUUGACAUGAUUUUAAUUUGAUUGAUUUAUUAUUGUGUGUAUUAAAAUAAUUAAAUCGACUCACUUUUGCAGGUUGUAUUAAAUAACGUAUAAAAUAAUGAAUAUCGAUGUAUAAUUAUAGAAAAAUAUAAAUAACAAAUAAAAUAUAAUUAUCUUGAAAAAUAUACUAUACUAUAAAUAAUUAAAAUUAUACUGUGUAGUAAAAAAUUACAGUGUUGUGUUGUGUACGUAUGUAAAUGACUGUGCAAAAAUAUUAAAAUAAUAAUAAAUUGAUAAAAAUUUUAAAAUUUACAAAAUUAUGGAUAAUUAUGUAAAAUUAAAAUAUGACAAUAAAUUUGUAGAAAAUUCUAAAUAAUGACAAUUAUCAAUAACUUGUCGGAUGUGACAAGACAUUAUUAUGCCAUCCUUGUCAUAUGUGAAAAAACAUCAAAUUAUUAUACUGUACAAAAAUAAUUGAUCUAACUCAGCGUUUGCAGACUCUAAAAUGUAGAAAUUGAUUUGUAAUUAUGAAAAAAAUAUAAAGAAUGUUGAAAAUAUCAAAAAAUGUAAUUAAUUUGAAAAUGUUAUAAAAAUAUGAUGUCAUGUCGUGCACGUGUGCAGAUGAUUGUAAAAAUAUUGACUGAUAAAAAAUCCCAAUGUACAGAGAAUUAUCAAUAAAUUAUAAAAAGUAAAAAUAUAAAAGUAAAUUAAUAAAAUCUUAAAGUAAGGAUGAAUAUCAAUAAUUUAUUAACAAUUGUAAAAAAAUAUGUGAAAAUUGUAUUUUGUGCCCUUUAACGGUCAGGAAGCCUGAAGACAUUAAUUUUAAGUAUGAAGAGCAAAACUUGGGUGUCAACAAUAUCUAUGCAACCAUUCCAUAUCGGCUAAUAGACAUAGGUGCAUACUGGUGAUAGGAGAUGCGCAUUAAGGAAUGAAUGCAAGGUACAUAAUUAAUAUCACAACUCAUCAUAAUUGUCUUCAUCAGGACCAUCAUCAUCGUAAUCAACCUCCGGCCUUGCCAGGUAUCAAUGCAUCAUCAAUAUAUCCUCCGAUCUUAUGGAAUAUGAGCAUCACAAUAGUUAUUACCGAAUAACAUACACUAAAAUACUCAUAAGCAUAAGCAAUCACCAUAGAAUAUCUAUCUAGUCAAUACUUCCCAACCACUCGUUAUUAGUUAAUCAACACUUAUUAUAAUAGAAUCACUAGUUCGCUAGUCAUCACAGAAUCCUUAUUCACAUGAUAACAACUAACCACUAUUUAUUUAAUAGUUAACGUCUAACAUAUAGUCAAGGUUCAUCAUUAGACCAAAACCGUCAUUUAUCCACCAUUCGUUAUUAUCAACUACUCAUCCUAUAUCUAUUAAUCAUUACUAAACAACACAUUACUACUUAUUAUCCAACCAUUUUUUAUUAACUGACAUCAUUCCUUAACUAAUCAUCAUUAGCUACCAUGUUUCAACUAAGCAAGAUUCAUUAACUAAUACAUUAGAUUCCUAGCCAUUAAGUGCUAUAGUCCCCUAAUAGACAAUUAGUUACCACAUAGCUUAACCGUCUAACCAGAAGAGCAGUCAUAAGAUCACAUUUCAGCUAUAAUCACAUCAUUUAUAAUGGUAAAUAAUCAUGAACGUACCAAAUCUAUGCAUGCUAUCACCAGUAUUCUGUCACGCAAUGCUUCAUAGAUUAAGAGUUAAACUUGUCUAAAAUAUUAAAAAUUAUUGAGGUGUUACAUAUUCAAUCAAUGGAAUAAUAAGCCUCAUACCGCUUCUUCCUCCGUCCUAUACCAGAGAGAUGAGUAUACCAACAUAUAUAUAUAUAUAUAUUUAUAUUCAUAAAUUGUAAUCACAUCGUUUAUAAUGAUAAACACUUCUCGACUAUUCAAUCAAUAUCAUAACACGACCUUUGGCCCAUCAAUUUAUCCAAAAUAAUCACAACAUCAUAAUCAUGGUCUUAGGACCAACAUAUAUCCAAAACUCAUAUCAAUAAUCAUAUUUAUAAGACGUAGCAUAUCCCUAAUCAUCUCACAUAUAGGAGGCAUAUCACAUAUAAGAGGCAUAAUAUUGAUAAGCAUGUCAUCAUCUCUCACACAAGAGGCAUCUCACAUCUAGGAGGAAUAACAUAGAUAGACAUGGAAUUGUCUAUAGGAUAUCUUAUAUUAAUUGGUCAUACAAUAUGACAACGAGGAAUAUCACUUCUCUUGGCCAAUUUACAUGUCCAAAAGGAACAUCGUCUCUAUAGUUCCAACAAUCAUGACUAAAAUAAAUAGCAACUCUAUAGGCCAAUCAUCAAGUCUAAGAGGAAAUAACAUCUCUACAGGCCACAUAAUGUAUCUAGGAGGAAUAUCAUCUCCAAAUGCCCAAUAUCAUUUCCACAAGGAGUAUCAUAACCAUAACUCAAAAGACAGAAUCUGAGAACAUCAAUACAAGUUACGAAGUAACCUUAUUCUAAGGUUUACUAGCCUCAUCUAUGUCUAACAUCCCCAACUAAGUCCACAGGACUUAACACAAGCUUAGGUCUAAAUGGGCCGAAUGAUCCCAUUUCUAAUCCACAAUUUUCAUAAUUAGACAUACUAUACCCUAAACAAGGCUAAGGUAUCUAGUUCAUCUUCUGGAUGUCAAGUAAGCCAUAUUUAAUCCUAAGAUAACAAAUUUGACUAGAAACAAGGGUACUCAAGUCAACUCUACCCAACUUACGAUUUUAAGAAUACCACACUAGUCCAAUAAGGCUAAAUAUACAAAUCAUACUUCAAACGCUAAAACCAUAUUCCAAACAAAGCAUUAUAUCAUAUCCAUGCUAUAACUAAAGAGGAAAGGCAAUAGGAUACAAAAGGGUCAUACACAUGCCAUCUUACGGGUCCAAAAACCCUCAUCUAUUCCACAAACAUCAACAAUCAAGGUCAAGUUAUCCUACUCAUAAUCAAGCCUAACAUCCAUAUUCACACGCAACAUAUAUCACACAUCAUUUAUAAAGAAAAGUAGGCAGAAGCCUACCUUAAGGCCAAAUCGCAAAACCUCACUUCAUGUACCUCAUGCCCAUCUUCACUUUACAAUUCUCAAAAUGCCAUCACACUAUCAAAAUCAAAAUCUACUCAUCAAUACGAGUCUAAUAAUACCCAUAUUUUACUAUUAUGCUCUGGGUCCAGAAACGACACCAAAAUCGGUCCCAUAUAUGAAAAAUGAAUUUUCGAGGCCAACUCAAUGUUCACAUGUGAACAAGGAAUCAUAACCCUCAAAGAAUGGGUAAAUACUAAGUAUACUUUGGGCUAAAAUCAAGCCCUAGGUUAAAUUGGGGUUUUGGGUCCAAACAAAGAAAUUCAAACGUGAAUUCAAGAAAUUCUUACCUUAAUCUUGAAGAUAAUCGCGAUACAAAAUGAUAAUUAAGCUCCCAAGUCACCCCCAUGACCAAUUUUGAGUUAUUGAAAAUAUACUACAAACUAACUUAGACUCUUAGCAUUAUAUGAAUGAAAAAAAUGAAGGACUUCUAAGAAUGUCACAUAGCCUCCCGAAGAUAGGAAAUGGACGUCAACGUUCCGAUCCACAGGACUCUAUUAGACAUUUGCUCUUAUACCAAUAAUAUCGGUGAAACGUAAGCUCUGAUACCAAUUUAUCACGAUCCUAUUUUCGAGUCAUUAUGGCACGUACCACAACCCACCGGUAGGCAAGCCAACAUCGUAACCCGGAGCUAAUGUAAUGGGUUACCUUAGGAGAAACGUCCAACAUGGACCCAAUGUAGCAACACAAUAUAACAACAACAUUCCACAAAUGAAAUAACUAACAUUCCAAUACCAAUCCCAUGAUCCGAUAGUACAAGUACAAGUGCAGCUCUAAAUCUAACAACAGAAAUUACAAUUCGAAGUUUGACAACUUAAAUAGUCUUAUACAAUUAUCUCGAAUACAAAAGACAAGUAAAGAUAGAGGGGAAAGAGGGCAACUCAAACUCCAAGAGCUCACCCUAUCUUCGAUUGGUCAAUGCGACACGAUCCCGACUCAACGACAGUAACUAUAACCUGGGUCUGCACCAAAAAGGUACCGAAAUGUAGUAUGAGUACCAAAAUAUGGGUACUCAGUAGGCAUUAUCGGCCGAUUGAGCUAAAUUAUAAUAUAAGGACGAUAUGAGUUAAGGCAAUAACUUAAAGUCAAAGUAUAGGACUGACCCUGAAUCUUCUUCAAUAUCACUGUAUAAAUACUAAUCAACUAUACCAAUAGUAUGAAAUUCCAUAUCUGCAUAUACCAUAAAUUUCAUACAACAUGAGUAAUCAUUUCAGAAGCGUAAAGCCGUGUAAAUAUAUAAUAAAAACCAUGAAUUUAUUGUAAUCAACACCAGCCAUCAUUAGAAUAUAAAGCACAAGAACUUACCAUGACGUCCCAUACCGCCGGAAAGUACACGCAAAAGAACACAACAAAGAACUCGUCACGACAUCCCAUACCACCGUAGAAUACACCAAAAGAAUAGAAUACAAGAACUCAUCACGGGAUCUCAUACCACCGGAGAGUACACCAAAAGAUCAAACCAUCAAUAUAUCAAGGCACAAUUACACAAUCACUUACCCCAAACCACAGGUCCACAUUCCUACCAUGGUCUUUUACUGAGGUCUACAGUCAUCAUCAAACUGCAUUUAUAUAAAACAAAAUUGAGAUCACCAUAACAUAGCUAUAUAGUCACUUAUUAUCUAUUUCAUUAAUGAACUCCAAAGUCUAGUCUAUAUUAGCUAAUCACCAGAUCCAUGAAGCACUAGUUUAUAAGUCUUAUAGUUUACUAAUCAUUAAAUAAGGAAAAGCUACAGGUUACCAACGCCAUUAUUUAUUCACCUAUCUCAAGGCCAUUAUCUAGUUAGCAACCUCAUUAUAUAAGUUGUCAUUUAAGCCACCACGACGUCACAUACGAGAAGUCAACUUAACUAUUCAUCAUACAAUACUAAGACCAAUAUCAUUAGGCAUAUUAUAACUUUAAGGACUAGUUUUCAUAUUUUAACCAAGUGAGAUCCACCAUCUGGUUUACUAGAUUUCUAGCCCACAAGUCAUAGCCAAUUAUUAGAAACAACUAGUUGUCACAUAAGCUACUUUACUAGGCAAAAUUCCAUAACAUAACCCCUUUAUUAAAGUCAAGAAGAUUACUAAGUGAGCCCUUAAUUGUACACAUGAUUAUCCUAUCUAGUGGAAUUAACCCAAUCUUUAGCCUAACUUAUCACUAGUUACUAAUUGGAGUCAACAACGGUCACACCCCUUAUUUAGUGAUUAGUGACAAAGAAUGAGUAUCAAUUACCAUAAAAGACAUCAUGUCUCGAGGACAUCAGCGGUUAGCCACACACAACAUAACCUCACAUAUAUACACAUGCAUUUAUAUAAAGUUGCCCCACACGGCAUCAUAACAUCAUUACCUCUUUCGGAUUCACCAGGUAUCAUCAUAACAUCAUUACCUCUUUCAAAUUCACCAGGUAUCAUCAUAACAUCAUUAUCACUUUUGAAUUUACCGAGCAUCAUCAUAACAUUAACAUUUCCUCCAGAUUCAUUGGGCAUCAUCAUAGUAUCAAAUUUUUAUUCGGAUUCACUGGGCAUUAUCAUAGUAUUAAUAUUUCCUCCUGAUUCAUUGAGCAUCAUCAUAGUAUCAAUAUUUCCUCUGAUUCAUCGGGCAUCAUCAUAGUAUUAAUAUUUCCUCCGAAUUCACCUGGCAUCAUCAUAGUAUUAAUUUUUCCUUUGGAUUCACCGAGAAUCAUCAUAGUAUCAAUAUUUCCUUCGAAAUCACCGGACAUCAUCAUAGAAUCAAUAUUUCCUCUGGAUUUGUUAGGCAUUAUCAUAGUAUCAAUAUUUUCUCUGUAUUCACCGGACAUUAUCAUAAUAUCAAUAUUUUCUCCAGAUUCACCGGGCAUUAUUAUAGUAUCAAUAUUUACUCCGAGUUCAUUGGGCAUCAUCAUAGAAUUAAUAUUUUCCAAGACAAAAACAUACACACAUAUAUUGGCCAAAUCAAUAAACAUACACAAGUUCACAAUAAUUGAGUAAUAGAGAUGUAAGAUACAUAAACCAUCACACUUUAUUACUAUUCAUCGUCAUUAAAUGUGAGUAGGAUCAUAAGCAUGAGUAUCCAGAUGAUAUACACAAUUACCAUCUUUCCAUGGCUAUCCAUAACAUGACAAUAAGACAACUAAUCAAGUAUACACAUUUUUCAACCAUCGACCUUAUUGAUAAAUCGAUAACCGAGUUUAACCUUUAUAAUCUCAAUAAUGUAAUUUAGAUGCUCAUCAAGUAUCUAAGUUACCAAGGAGUUGCAUAGUUCAAGCUUAAGGUGGGUCAAGUCAUACUUAUAACUCCCAAUAAUACUAAAGUCACUUCUACAAGACUAACUUUUACCCGGAUUUAGGUUAGGUUAUCUAAGUCACACCAUAAGGGCUUAUCAAUCCUUACUAAGCCUAUAGAAGAAAUCUUCUUCAAGUAUUCUUCCUAAGUCUACCCAACACCAAGGCCAUUUCAUAAUUAAGCAAUAACUAAGUCAACAUACUUUUAACGUCAAUAAACAACAUCACUCUCAUCUAGUAGAGCAACUAAAGUAUUUUCAUACUAUUUAUGAGGCUAUACAUAGAAUUAUCCAAGGUUUUAAGCUAAAGGUAUCAUAUUUUUACAAGUUUAACAACCUAUGAGAAUCAACUAAUCCCAAGCAUCAUCAUUCAAUCAUUUAUUAUCUAAAAAACCCACCCAAUAUCACAAGAUAUCAAUAAUUAUAUUAAAACCAAACUCAAUCUAAUUAUGGGUAAGCCUAACCUACCUCGAGUCCAAUUGUUCACGAACCAACAAGCUUUGCCUUCCUUUUUCUUGAAGCUUCUUCUUCAAUAAGCCAAAAUAUCAACAAAAUAAUUUAAGCAUCUUUACAAGAACAACAACACCCAUUAUGACACCAUUAUGCCAUGGGUCCAAAAUGACACCAAACCCUCAAGUGGAUCCCACCUUUGAAAAAUGAGUUUUCGAGUCCAACUCAUAGUCUAAAUAUUAUUAGGGACUAAAACCCUCAAGAAAUAUGAGUAAAUCAAUCAUAUUUGUGGCUACAAUUGAGCCUCAAAUACUUAGGGUUUUUGGGUCUAGAAAUCAAGAAAUUAUUACCAAAUUUAAAGGAAUCUUACCUUAGAUUUGUAUCAAAAAUGGAUUAUACAAGUUAUUCAAGCUCCUAAUCAACUCACAAGACUCACUUUUUAGUCAACCAUCUCUCAUGGCUUCUAGGGUUUCUAAAGAAAUGAAUAAUGCCCCCAAAAUGGUCCUAAAGGGCCUUUUAUACAAGUUUAAAUAGGCCCGCAAGGUAAAAACUUAUUUUUGACCUUCCUGACUCAUUUGGACUCUGUUUUUGCAAAUGAACUAUGUAACCCCACUAAAUUCAAUAUUUUGGAUGCAUUGGUGAAGUUGGAUUCUCCGUACAAUGUCAUUUAGGCCACUUGUAGGUCCCACACUCAUAUAUUCUGAUUUUUUACUUUUCGACUAAUGGGUCGAAAUGAGCUCAGGUGCUAUGGGAUCCGAACCAAGGGUAUAGCUACCUUAAAAUUGAUAUUACAUAGCUACUAGCGUAGUCAAAAUUUGCAUCCAAAAUUAUUUUAUUGAAGUUUUUGUUCGUCGGCCAUUUGGAAUCGACGAAGACUUCAAAUUGAAAAAGUGGUUCAAAAAAUCAAACGAACCGUCAGGUAACCGAACUAUCGAUAAUAGCAAGUCACUAAUGACUUGUGAAAGCUAUGGAGGAGCUCUAUCGGUGAAGAUAAGCAAGAACACCGUUAAUAACCUGAAGGGCCAUUUCACUCUCUAACAACAUUUAGUGUGAUUUGAUUUUAAAUGGAAUCAAAUCAAAAAAUCGAUAUUUGGUUUGAUUUGAUUUUAGAUUUAAAAAAUUGAUAAUAUUUAGUUUGAUUUUUAUUUUACUAAAAAUAACCAUAAUUCGGAGAGCAAUGAAUUCUUCUCCAAAUCAUCUCCUUCUUUGUUUAAUUUAAGAAAGAAAUCAAUUGUGUUUGAGCUUUUGAUCUCUGAACGAAUAAAUUAUAUAAAUAAAUUAGUUGAAUAGAUGAUAUUUUUCAAUAACUAAAUAUAAAUAUUUUAUACCUUAUAAUCAUUAAUUUGAUUUUAGUCUACUUAUUUUCACAUGUACUACUAUAUUUUUAAAUUUCAUUUCUUGAAAAAUAUGAAGAAAAAAAAAUAUAACACUCUAAAUUUAAUUGUCUAUAUAUAGUGUAGUGUAUAGUUUGUUUUUAAUUUACUCAAUUGAUUACUCUUUUAAUUUUUGAAAGGUUGACUAUUUUAUUUAAAGCUUUAUGUUAUUUUACGGAUGUUAGAAAUGUGAAAUGGAGUAAUCUCUAUAAUUAUGCAACAUAAAGAUGCUAAGGUUUCAAAAGAGUAUUGAAAAAUGAUGUAAAAUAUUCAACUAUACUUAUCUAGUAAUACUAGAUAUCAAUUUAUUAAUUUAUAAUGUUCAUAUGAAAUAAUUGUUUCGUGUCUUUAUUAUUUUUUAAAUAGCUAGUUAUAAACCAAAAAAUUAAACCAAAUUGAUAGUUUUAUUUUAUUUUAAAAGUUUAAAAUCAACUAAAUUACUUUAAUUUUAAUUUUAAUCAACAAUUAAUCCCCAUGAAAUCAUGAGCACCCACUAUUUUAAGAAAAAAAAUAUUGAUUGACAUUCUUUUAUGUCUUGAAUGAUAUAUUACAAUUGUGUGUUAUUAAGAAAUUAAAAUAGUAAAUAAUAUUGUAUGACAAUGAAUAUUUAUAAUUUCAUUGGAAUUGAGUAAAUCAACGAAUUAUUUUUGAUUUUUUUUUUGGGUUGAUCAAGAAGCAAAAUUGAAAAGUGAAAUAAGUAAUAAGCAAUCAAGAAACAUAGUUUAAAACAAAUAUUAUGACUAAGACAUAAUUAAAAAUUUAAACAUAAAAAUAUAAAUGGCAUAUUCAACUUUUAUUUAUCAACUCCACUUCUCAAAUAAUUAAGAUUACUUUGAUUAAUUUAUUUAAAAUUUUAUUCGAAGAUAUCAUUUUAAUUUGAAAUAUUUUUUUUUUGAAUUGGAUGAUAUAGUUUUCAAUUUAAUUUUUUUGUUCUAUCUCUAGUCCAUUAAUAUAGAGGAAUAUGAAAUUUAUAUUCAAAUGUAUGUAGAUGUGUGUGUAUAUCAUCGUAAUUUAAAGAAAAGAUUUAAUAUACAUUGUAAGAUAAAAUAUUUUAUUGGGGUAAAACAUUAAAUUUUAAUUUAAAUAAGUGAUAAAUAUAUUUAAGUUGAACCGAGAAAAAGUUGAAUAUGAAGCGAAAUAUAAAUUUACUUAUACAUUAUAUUGAUAGGAGAAUAAUCAUAUAAAAUACAUUUAUUAUUUUUUUUAAUUAUAAGUAAAUGUAUAAUUUUUUAAUUUAAUUAACUAUAUAAUUUACUAUACAUAUAAAAUACUUAGAGUAUGUAGAAUUUUUUUAUUUUUAUUAAUUGUUCUUGUAUAAAUCAAUUUUAGUUGUUCCAUAAGUUUAGGGAAUAGAAAAAAGUUAGUGCAUUUAUUAAUAUAAUUUAGAGGAGAUUUAUGUAAGAAAAUAUGAUAAAAUCUAAAAUAAGGCUAUGUAAGUCUUUUCCCAAUUGUGGCCAAAUUUGGGCCAAAAUUUUUUGGCCAUUUAGCACUUCCUUUACCAUAUAUAGUGAAUGUCUUUUUUAUCAUAGUGAAUGUAUAUUUAUGAAAAAGUUGGAAACCGAAGGUUAGUUUUUCCCUAUAAAUAAAGGAUUUUUCUUCGUUGUAAUUGACCCAUCAAGAAACCUCUCAAGAGAAAUAAUAAUCACUCUCUCUAUUCUUGUUGUUCUUACUUUAUAUUUCAUAACACGUUAUCGGCACGAUGCUUUAGCCAACCGAGCCAUAGUCAUUCAAUAUUUUUCCAUAGUCGUCCAAUAUUUUUGAUCCAAUAACUAGCGAUUCUAAUUCAGGUAACAUGUUUCAUGUAUUAUUCUUUCUUUUUCUUUGUUCUGAUGGAUCAGUUGGAUAAUAAUUACGAAAAAAAGGGAACAACACAAAAUUUUCUAAGAUCUUUGUUGUCACCUACCAAACUAAUUAUUUAUAUUAAAAAUAAAGUGUCAUUUUCUUUAUAUUUAUAACACGAUUAGUGGUUAUUCGUUUUAAUCUUUAUUAAAACUGUGAAGGAUUAGCUGAGAAAUUGAAAUUUAUAUCUAAUUACAUUGAGGUGAUAUCAUGAUCAAAUUUUUAUUUGUGGCUAUAAUUAAGAUUGGUCACAUAUUUAUGAAAGGCUCAGGUUUGAGUUCUAAUACACUGGUUGAGGAUAAGAUGAUGGAUUAAAUUUUCAUCGUACUUACAAAAGAGUAAGACAUCGGGUUAGUGUCCCGAUGCAUCAUGAUGAUAAAAUAUUAGGUUUAAAUCCCAUCGAGUUAUGCCUAAGAUGCCUUUAGAUGGGUAAGACAUUGAGUUUGAAUCUCAGUGCACCAUAUUAUGAUGACUAAGACAAAAUAAUAUGUAUUUGGUGAAAAUUCAUGAAAUCUGCCUCUUUAAAUAUACUUCAUGAAGUGAAUGUGAUAUGCUCCAUUACAUGAAGUGAAUGUGGUAGCAAUUUAUGAUAAGUCCGAAAGAUGACAAUUUGUUCCAUUCCAUGAAGUGCAUGUGAUAUGCCCCAUUCCAUGAAGUGGAUGUGAUAGCAAUAUAUGAUAAAUCUGAAAGAUGACAAUUUGCUCCAUUCUUGAAGUAAAUGUGGUAGCAAUAUAUGAUAUACUCUAAAAGAUAUGUAUGUCUCGAUGUGCUCUGAAGUAGCAAUAUCAUGAAAGAGGUUAUAAGCUAUCAUAAUUUGAUAGGCUUAAGGCACGAUUAGAUUUUAUUUCUGGGGAAUGAGAAUCUUAUUAAUGUAAACGUGCAUUUGAUUGUGAUGGUAUCACAACUAACCUCUGAAAGAGGCUGAAUAACUGAGAAGAGUUAUUUUGAAAUCUACUUUUAAAGUAUUAAAUUCGAAAAUUUAUUCAUGUAAUAGUAAAUCUGAAAUUUACUAAAAAAAGGCAUAUGUCGUGGUAAACUUGGAGCUUACUAGUAUAAAAGUUCAUAAAUUGACAUAAACGAUUGCUAUAUUCCAAAAAUAUGCAUAUUGAGUAUUAGACAUAUGCUGAAGAAAUAGAAGAUUCUUCAAGAAUUAUUGAUGUUACUUGUUCUCAUGAUAAGUUGAUUGGACCAACUAAUGUUGGGAUUUGAUCCCUCAAAAUUUAAAAAAUAUAAAAGGUGAAUAUAGGCCCGUUCACCUGUCAUGUGAUCUAAUAAGAUGCAUCGAUGUAAGAUGAUCACAUGUACGUUUAUUGUCAACCUGCAGUUUGACAUUCAUAAAGUUGCUGCUCAAUUAAAUUGAGUUAAGAGCAUAAUUUGUAGAUUGUGUAAUCAAAUAAUUCAUCUUGUUAAUGUCGGUUUGGCAUUGAAUGUCUUCGAUAAAUAACUGAAUUAUUGCUAAUGAGAACAAAAGCUUCAUGUGUUGGUUUGAAAUAUUAUAUACAAAAAUACUUGUAUGCAUCAAACCAAUAAAUUAUGAUUAAUUUUCCCUCAAAGUUGGAUCUGAGUCAGAAACCACACGUUGUUCAUCUAAUAGUUUUGAUGUGUGGUAUACGAUUAAUGAAUAUACCAUGAUGCACAAAGAUGGAUUCCUCAAAAAAGAUGAAGGGUGUAUGUUAGUUUUUCUAACAUAAGGGGGAGAUUAUAAGCAACUAAGAAAUAUAUUAGAAAUUAUUAUCAGAUUCUCAUUCAAAAGAUUAGUCAAGUCAAAUGCCGAAAGAUUCUCAUAUUUAAGCUGCAAGUGCCCCUAUUUCCUGUCCCUAAAGGACAAAGUUUAUGCACGUAUGAAGUGUGAUAGACCAAUCGGUUCCAAAUAAAAUAAUUCUUGAAAAGGAUAAGGAGCAAAUAAUCAUAAUAAGAAGACAAUGUGCUCUUGAAGAGCCCAUGACACAAUACUUCAUGAAACCUUAUGAAAGGUUCAGGUACCUCAAAAUAAUGAAGUGAUGAGAUCUCAAAAUGUUAUGUCACACUGUGAACCGAUACGAAAUGAAAUAUCAUUAAUAUCUUAGAUACAAUAUUCGCUCAAUAUUGUGAAAGAUUAUGAAGAUUCGAAUUCUAUGUUUAUUUAAGCAUGCUAACAUAGAAAUAUUUAUCAAGUGACGUGAAAGGAUGUAUCUUUGUACACAUAAAACUUAUUUAAUUUAUAAUCCAGAUACUUGGAGAUGUCGUUCAUGAAAUUUUGAAUAUUGUCAAUUGAAAAAAUUCAUAUGAAAGUUUAUUUUAAGGAUUCAAAAAGUUUCAAGCAUAUAAAAGUUUCUGGAAAAUAUUGCGCAUACGCAAGUGUACGUGGUCUCACCAAGUAAUACAGUGGCCUUUUACAAAGCCAAAUAUCGAUCCCUUAGAGACUUAUAUCAACAACUAUCUAAUUCAAGUUCAACUAUUAAGAUUAAAGUGGUGCAAUGUAACCAAAAAAGUCUUGAAAGUUUGUAAGCUAAAAGUAAACUAAAGUAAUGCGGAAAAGUAAAGACUUUGGACAAGAAAUGGAUGAAAACCCAGGGUUAAAGCACUAUGAACAAUAAUACCAUGCUAUUGAACCUCAUUCGUAAGACUUCUUAUCUUGGUUGUUGAUUCGUAGGGUUUAUCAUAUGAUUAUGGUCUCCCGACUUCUAACUUUCUACCUAACUAGACAUUACAACUAAAUCGUUGAACGGAGAUUUAAUAAUUCAUUAGAUGCAUUAAGAUGUCAUCCUACAUGUGAAAUAAGAAAGGCUUCUAGGUAUAUCCCUAUCCUGAUCGCUAAUUCAAAUUUCUUAUUUUAUUAAAGAAUAAGAACCUUACUCUAUUUAUCUGCAAGUUCUAUCUUCCUAUUCCCCCUUCGGAGUUCACAAGGUCGACAAUAUAUGUAUUCUAAGGGUAGAUAAUAUUUAAAAUAGUUAAAAAAGGGAUAAAAAAAUAAUCAAAUAUGAUAAUAAAUCCAAACAAACUCAAUUCAAAGCGAAAGUAAACAUGUUCUUGGCCUUAACCCUGGAAAAGAGGUGUUUAGCCACUAAUGGAUAUAGCCGUAAUCAAGAUUAUUAAAUACAUGCUAAAAUCCAUUAAAAAUAUAAAUUAAAAGAAAAAUCCUAAUUGAAGUGUUUUUCAGCCCCUGUCCAAGUUUCAAAGCCAUCCAAGGUGUAUAACAUCAAGUACAAUUGUCCUAUUUGUAGGAGGACAGAACUGCCGAUUUUUGCACUAGUCCGCGUUGCAAGGUUAAUUUUGCGCGUAUACCUCUGCCAAACGCACUUAUGGUGGAUACACACUAUUUUUUUUUCCUUUAGGAAUCUCCCUAUGUAUGGAACGCUUCCUAGGGACUUUGAUUUGGUCCGCGACGCGCCCUUGACAUCCAAGGUAUCCAAUUCACGUUAAGUUGUGUCUUGUGCUUUUCUUGACCCAGUCCAAGCCUUUUUGUGUUGUUUUAACUUGAUUUGAAGCUUUUAUAUCCUUCAUAUAUCAUCAUAAUCAACUCACCAAGAAUCCUAUAGCAUUAAAUACACCGGAUUAUAGCUCAAAACAAUACAACAUCAAAGACGACGAACUAGAAACUUAAGCUAGGAAUACUAGUUUUGCCCUUUUUGAUCUUUAACUUGGUUUUGACUCUUGAAUCGAUUAAAUUACACUUUAAACACUAUAAACAAGUUUUACCAACAUAAUUACACAAUAACAACCUUAGAAACUCAUUCAACACAUUAGAAUACGAUGCGAUAAACUAGAACAACGCCUAGCUUAAGCUAGUAAAACUAGUUUUCCCAUAUGAACUCUACGUGAUCAAUUUGAAUACAAACUUGUUUAAAUACACCUUAAACAUUAUUAUCAAGUUCUUAAAAACUUAUAUGAUCAUUUAUAUCAUCAUUGACUCAUUAAGCACACAAGAAGUCCUCAAAACAAGGCUAAAUAAGCUAGGAUAACAACACUAAGGCGCAUAAAUUCACCUCAGAUUAGGAAACUUAUUUAUAAUUCUUAUAUUGUAUAAGCUUAUAGCUUGAAAAUUAUUGAAAUUCUUGUAGAGUUUUCAAAAGCAAUAGGUUAUUUGCAGAAAUGAUAAACAUACCGAAUUGGAUUGGUCUUGAAGUACCAUAUCUUAGUGCAGUUGAUGCACUAAUGUAUUUUGAAAAUACUAAAAGGCUUGAUAUAGCCUUUUUUUGAUUAAUUUGUUGAAAAGAUAUAGUUCUGCUCCUAUUGUGACAUCGAAAUGGGAUAAAACACAUGAUCUUAUUUUAGUAUAAAGAUUGCAAUCGCGAUCUUAUUGGUUAUACUGAUGUUGGGUACUUAUCUGACCCACAUAAAGCUCGAUCUCAAACAGGUUAUGUGUUUAUAUAUGGUGGUACUGCCAUAUCUUAGAGAUAUACAAAGCAGUCUAUCAUAGCCACUUCAUCGAACUAUGCUGAGAUAAUAGCUAUUCAUGAAGCAGGUUAAAAAUUUGUGUUGUUGAGGUCCAUGAUAUAUCUCAUUUUAGAAAAAUAUAGUUUGAAAUGUGAAAAAAUACCCAUGAUUUUGUAUGAAGAUAAUGCAGUAUGCAUAGCACACCUUAAGGGAGGAUUCAUUAAAGGAGAAAGAACGAAGCACACUUUAUCAAAGCUUUUUUUAUAUACAUGAGCUCCAAAAGAAUGGUAAAAUUAACAUGCAACAGAUUCGUUCAAGUGACAAUGUGGCUGAUUUAUUUAUCAAGUCUCCUCCAAUUGCAACUUUUAAGAAGAUGGUGCACAAGAUCGGAAUACAAAGGUUCAAGGAUGUUCUCAUUAGGGGGAGUUAAUACGCAUUGUACUCUUUUGUCCCACUGGAUUUUUCUUAUAAGAUUUUUAAUGAGGUAAUCUAUAUACGUAUUGUUAGAGAUGUGUACUCUUUUUCCUUUACUAGAUUUUUUUUUCACUGAGUUUUUUCUAGUAAGGUUUUAACACGCACAUUAUCUAUCAAUUAGACAUUCAAAGGGGAGUGUUAUAAAUAUAUUACCAUAUAUAGUGAAUGUCUACUUUACCAUAUAUGAUGAAUGUCUAUUUAUGGAAAAGUUAGAAACCACAAGGUUAGUUUUCCCCUAUAAAUAAAGGGGUUUUUCUUCAUUGUAAUUGACCCAUCAAGAAACCUCUCAAGAGAAAUAAUAAUCAUUCUGUCUUCUCUCUCUAUUUUUGUUGUUCUUACUUUAUAUUACAUAACUAUCAAAGAAAUUUGGGAGGAGAGUUGUUGUACUAGAGUUUGCUAUUUUAUAAUACAUUUUAAAAUAUUUUUGACAAGUAAUAUUUUGAUAAAAUUUCACCAUGUGUUUGUUUAUAGUAUUUAAAAAGUAUAUUUUAUUUUUUUAAGAAAUAUGAUUUAUAUUCAUAAAUUUAGACUUUAUUAAAACUAACCAUAAGUCUGUAUUAUCAAAAAUAAGAAAUAUGCCGAAUAUUUUCUUAGAAAUUGAGAAACAGAAGAAAAUUAAGUAUACUGAAAAUUUUGUAUAAGUUGUAUUGUUAUGUACAUGACACGUCUACUAAAAAAAUUAUUUUUAAUUAUGUUUGUGUAAAGAAGUCACGAUAAUAAUACAAUAUCCACCUAUAUAUACAUAGCAAAUAUAAAUUGUAUUGUUAUGUAUAUACCCUCGUUAGUUGGUCAAUAAAUAGUGAAUGUUUUUAUAAAAGCUAAAAGUUUGAUGUAAAAUUUAAACUUUUUCUAGUAUUUCAGAAUUUGAAUUAUUUAUCCAAAAAAGUUGCAAAAUAAUGCAAAUUCUAUGGCCAAACAUUAUUUGCCAAUUUUUUUUUUAAAAAAUUUUACUUGGAAAAUCUAUAACCAAACGGAUCCUAUAUUUCUCUACAAAUGCACUGCACUCCUUUACUUUUACUUGGCACAUUUUGAUUUGGUAUAUAUAUUUAGAGAACAAUAAUUGACAUUACUAUUUUACUUUACUAUCCUUAUUAAUUAAUGUUUAGUGUUUAGUCUUGAAAAAUUAUUUGAAGAAUAAAUGAUUAAGUCUAAGAGUCAUUUAAGAAUUUUUUUUUUAUCUUUUCUUGAUAAAAAAAAAAGAAGAAAAGAAA
RNAcentral lists this long non-coding RNA (29085 nucleotides) under Capsicum annuum. RNAcentral describes it as "long non-coding RNA (CANN_LNC008045)". Lineage: Eukaryota; Viridiplantae; Streptophyta; Magnoliopsida; Solanales; Solanaceae. The record is from RNAcentral.